CCAACCAGAUUCACUUUGUUCUCCUGCCUCACUCCCAGAAGGCUUCCAACAAGGGACUUAAGCCUCCCCCCAGGCAGUCCCAGACUCCAGGAGUAACAAGCUGCUGAUGCUGUCGGUAAUCUAUCACUUUGGCUUCUUCCUCACCGUCUGCCGGUUCCCAGGGGAGGCAAAAUUUAGAAACAUACCAUCACGUGGGGUCUCUUCGCACAGCAACGAUGGAGUGCUCUGGGUUGCAGUGACCUCAAUUUCUUCCUUUCCUGCCAGUGCCAUCAGCUGUUUCUCGCCUCCCUGGCAGAUGAAGGGACAUGAAUCAACUCUUGUCUCACUAGUAUCUUCCUGCCCUUUUCCCUUGCUGCUUCCUUCGGGAAUCUGUUCCAGCUUACUGUGGAGAUACAGCCCGACAAUGCCCAGUUCCUUCUUCCCAGAGCUGCUGCUGUCAUUGCUGAAGUGGAUCAGUUCUUCUCUCUCCUUGGCCACUGGUUCCUCGAAGGUUACAGGAGUAGGUACCUCAGAAGCAGACAGGCCAGGCAGCUCCCCAGCACUCAAUCCGCAGCCGG
This 557-nucleotide long non-coding RNA is filed under the name Rattus norvegicus (Norway rat). RNAcentral's name for it is "long non-coding RNA NONRATT029004". The record is from RNAcentral. Lineage: Eukaryota; Metazoa; Chordata; Mammalia; Rodentia; Muridae.